This 423-nucleotide ribosomal RNA is filed under the name uncultured bacterium. RNAcentral's name for it is "bacterial SSU rRNA". It matches the Rfam family "Bacterial small subunit ribosomal RNA", at positions 207 to 622 of the family's 1533-position model. The record is from RNAcentral.
AAGACCUUGCACUUUUGGAGCGGCCGAUGUCUGAUUAGCUAGUUGGUGGGGUAAUGGCCUACCAAAGCUUCGAUCAGUAGCUGGUCUGAGAGGACGGCCGGCCACACUGGGACUGAGACACGGCCCAGACUCCUACUGGAGGCAGCAGUGGGGAAUUUUGGACAAUGGGCGCAAGCCUGAUCCAGCCAUGCCGCGUGAGUGAAGAAGGCCUUCGGGUUGUAAAGCUCUUUCAGCCGGGAAGAAAAGGUUGCGACUAAUAAUCGCAAUUCAUGACGCUACCGAAAGAAGAAGCACCGGCUAACUACGUGCCAGCAGCCGCGGUAAUACGUAGGGUGCGAGCGUUAAUCGGAAUUACUGGGCGUAAAGGGUGCGCAGGCGGUUUUGUAAGUCAGAUGUGAAAUCCCCGGGCUUAACCUGGGAACU